RNAcentral lists this ribosomal RNA (466 nucleotides) under uncultured bacterium. RNAcentral's name for it is "bacterial SSU rRNA". It matches the Rfam family "Bacterial small subunit ribosomal RNA", at positions 36 to 518 of the family's 1533-position model. The record is from RNAcentral.
CUGGCGGCGUGCCUAACACGAUGCAAGUCGAGCGAGGAGAUCCUUCGGGAUGAUCCUAGCGGCGGACGGGUGAGUAACACGUGGGCAACCUGCCUCAUAGAGAGGAAUAGCCUUCCGAAAGGGAGAUUAAUACCUCAUAACAUUGCAGUUUCGCAUGGAACAGCAAUUAAAGGAGUAAUCCGCUAUGAGAUGGGCCCGCGGCGCAUUAGCUAGUUGGUGAGGUAACGGCUCACCAAGGCGACGAUGCGUAGCCGACCUGAGAGGGUGAUCGGCCACAUUGGGACUGAGACACGGCCCAGACUCCCACGGGAGGCAGCAGUGGGGAAUAUUGCACAAUGGGGGAAACCCUGAUGCCAGCAACGCCGCGUGAGUGAUGACGGCCUUCGGGUUGUAAAGCUCUGUCUUCAGGGACGAUAAUGACGGUACCUGAGGAGGAAGCCGCGGCUAACUACGUGCCAGCCGCCGC